This 205-nucleotide ribosomal RNA is filed under the name uncultured bacterium. Its description in RNAcentral is "partial 16S ribosomal RNA". It matches the Rfam family "Bacterial small subunit ribosomal RNA", at positions 114 to 334 of the family's 1533-position model. The record is from RNAcentral.
CGCGUAAGAAUCUACCUCUUGGAGGGGACAACAUUGGAAACCGUUGCUAAUACCCCAUAUCGCUGAGGAGCGAAACAUUGAAAGAUGGCCAGGAGAGGAGCUUGCGUCUGAUUAGCUAGUUGGUGGGGUAAAAGCCUACCAAGGCCACGAUCAGUAGCUGGUCUGAGAGGAUGAUCAGCCACACUGGAACUGAGAGACGGUCCAG